CGCCUUUGCCUCCAAGGCUUUGCUGGCUUGUGCGGCAUCCUGCUCCGUCUGCAGGUUGUGCUUCCGGUGCGGAGGUCAGGGACAAGAUGGUGCCACCGGUGCAGGUCUCUCCGCUCAUCAAGGUGAUCCAGGCUUUGCAGCCGCCGCCCAGUGCUCUGGGCCCCCCCGUGUCCCGCCCCGCAGCUCCGACCCCGCGGGCUGCGACCCCCGGCCCCCGCCCCCAUGAUCCUCGCCCCGUGACCCUCGCCCGGCGACCGGACCCCCACCCCUCCUGCGACCUCUGCCCAGCGACCCCGCCCCCCCUCCUCCCGCGACCCCCGUCCCGCGAGCCCCGUUUCGCGCCGCCUCUGACCAACCUCUUUCGCAGCUCGGCCGCUACUCCGCCCUGUUCCUCGGUGUGGCCUACGGAGCCACGCGCUACAGUGAGUGACCGCGGGCGGGGCCGGGGCGGGGUCUGCUCGGCUUUCCUGUGGAGCUCCUGUGCUAUUUGGAGAACUCCAGCUCUGGAAGGGGGCUUGGGACGCAUGCGAGGCUGCAGGACCGUGUCCUCCACCGAGCGUGACCCCGAUAGUGGAAUCAGCUCACCCAAAGCUCAGGCUUCUGAGGCCCGGGCGGGGGACUCGAAAACGGCUGCUUCUUGGUGAAAACGGGUGCUAAAUGGCUGUUCGAGUGCUGAGGUCUUGAUGGGAGGCAGUCCCUGUUCGCAGAGGACGAGUGAGCCAGUGCGUGAGCGGGUGGGCAGCAGGGGCCCUGUAGCCUCUGGGUUGGACUCGUCAGGGUGAAGGUCAGGCGUUGACUCGCAUUAACAUAAAGAGCGGGAACAGCAGGUGCGUCUGGUUUACAGCGUCGCUGAAGAUACCUUGACCUGUGGACUCAGUUCCUUUUGUACAGCAUUUCCAGUGAAUUUUAUUCUCCUGCAUUCCGCCAAACAGAUUACCUAAAACCUCGGGCAGAAGAGGAGAGGAGGAUAGCAGCAGAAGAGAAGAAGAAGCAGGAUGAACUGAAACGGAUUGCCAGAGAAUUGGCAGAAGAUGACAGCAUAUUAAAGUGAGUGACCCUGCGACCCACUCUUUGGACCAGCAGCGGAUGAAUAAAGCUUCCUGUGUUGUGUGAU
RNAcentral lists this long non-coding RNA (1114 nucleotides) under Homo sapiens (human). Its description in RNAcentral is "non-protein coding lnc-ATP5ME-2:4". Lineage: Eukaryota; Metazoa; Chordata; Mammalia; Primates; Hominidae. The record is from RNAcentral.